This 137-nucleotide ribosomal RNA is filed under the name uncultured eukaryote. RNAcentral's name for it is "partial 18S ribosomal RNA". It matches the Rfam family "Eukaryotic small subunit ribosomal RNA", at positions 1299 to 1458 of the family's 1831-position model. The record is from RNAcentral.
UGGUGGAGCGACUUGUCUGCUUAAUUGCGAUAACGAGCGAGACCUUACUCUGCUAAAUAGCCAGGCUAGCUUUGGCUGGUCGCCGGCUUCUUAGAGAGACUAUCAACUCAAGUUGAUGGAAGUUUGAGGCAAUAACA